Molecule: long non-coding RNA, 285 nt
Filed under: Panax ginseng (ginseng)
Lineage: Eukaryota; Viridiplantae; Streptophyta; Magnoliopsida; Apiales; Araliaceae
Description: long non-coding RNA (PGIN_LNC012278)
Source: RNAcentral
CCAAAACCCGCAUCGGCCGUCCGAAUGCCACGCAAACACAUACAUAGCACCUCGUAGGUAUUAGACACGUGUUAGAACUUACAGGACUCGAUUCCGACAUACGGAACCAAAACCCGCAUCGGUUGUCCGAAUGUCACGCAAACACACACAUAGCACCUCGUAGGUAUUAGACACGUGUUAGAACUUACGAGACUCGAUUCUGACAUACGAAAUCCGAGUUAUCGUCCAGUUUGCAAAACUCGCCAACACUUAGGCAAAAAGCCGAAAAACAGCCCAAAACCCGCA